GUUGCUUUUUCCCCUCCGCCCCGCUUCUCCCAUCUAGUCGCCGGACGGUCGUCCCACGCUGCUCCUCCGCUCGCUGCCUCUCCCAUCGAGAAUCACCCUCUCCUACGAGCGGAUCGCCGCCCUCCAGUCCACCAUGUGCCGUCGCCUCGCCGCCCCUCGAUGCUGCCCCUGUGCAAUGCCGUCCGCUGCAACACAUUACCACGCCCUCCCGACCGCAUACUCCUCGCCUUGCAGCGGCGCCCGACACGCACACCCCCGCACCGGCCCUCUCCAUCUCCCGGCCCCGUCGUCUACCCGUCUCGCCGCUGGCGAGGCAGCCAAGAGGAUCGCGAGCAGCGCAUCCUUUGCCGACUGUAGUGCCCCUCCAGAUGUCAUCCUGCAUCCCCUCUUUGUCUCGCGGGAUGACCCCCAAUGAGCCGGUGUAUUUUUUGUACGAUGAUGGUGGCUUCUCUUCUAUCAAAAAAAAAGUUGAGGCAAGAGCAUGAUUCAGUUGCGAGGGACAAAGGCAAUUCCAGGAUGACAGUAGAAUUUGAUGAGGGAGAAUGAGCUCAACAGUCUUCCAGACUCUGGAUGCAGGCAUGCAACAUUGUAAGUGGACGGGCAACUAAAAUAUAUGAGUCAUUGCUGCCAUCCACGAAAAGACUUGAGUGAGGCAAAGGAAUACAAAAAUAAUUUGCCAGAUGCUACAAAGAUGACUGCAGCAGUCAUGGAUGUAAAAAAGGCGCAUUUCAAUCAUUGAGUUUUAAAUCAUGGACAUGGAGCCAUGGAUUAGUGAAGGAACAUCCUAAAUUGUUCGAAGUUCAGUGGCAGCUAUUUUGUGCACAUCAGUUGCUAUUGGCAGUGGACAGGUUGUCUAUCCAGAGAUCAACUUUAUUGACUUUAGAGUCAAAGGUCAGUGGUUCCACUUUAUGUGGUGAGAGUGCUCACAAUGCAUCUUAAAUUUAGGAGAUAAAUGAACCCAUAAAGGAUUUAACAAUGUAUGUCUUCAUAGGUAUGAACUGUCCGGUGUUCUAGACAGUCCAAAGAAGUUAAAUAUUACAACCGUGUUAACUUUUUUUAGAGAGAGCUGAAUGGUAAAUGCUUCAGGUGGUGAGUUUUAUGUGUAGAUACUGUUUUUUCUUCAAAUAUUAUAUGUGAGAGGAACCAGGAGGGGACGAGCAUGUAAAUCAAGCUUGCCUUUUCCUUGUGUUGCUUUCUUUUGUUCUGAACAUUUUGAAAGUCAUAUGUCUUGCCUUAUAUUACUUACGGUUUGUACCAUCAGCAUGUUCAGGUUUGCCUUAAGGUGGUAAGUCUUAUCCAGUUGCAAGUAGCCCCUUUUGUUACAUAAUUUUUCAUUGCAAUGUUCUCAUGGAUUAUUGGAUAAUAGUCUCUCUGUUGAUUGUUUUGUUUUAGGUAAGGUCAUGAUCAUACACAUAAAAAAUAUGUGAUGGAUACAUGGAGCUUUGCGGAACACCCGGAGUGCGAAGCGUGCUACUACGAGUCCCUAGGUUUCACAGAUCGUCAGCAAG
Triticum aestivum (bread wheat) is the source of this 1508-nucleotide long non-coding RNA. RefSeq lists it as uncharacterized. Lineage: Eukaryota; Viridiplantae; Streptophyta; Magnoliopsida; Poales; Poaceae. The transcript is spliced from 5 exons. The record is from RefSeq and is a predicted model, not a curated record.